CCUACGGGCGGCUGCAGUGGGGGAUAUUGCACAAUGGGGGGAACCCUGAUGCAGCGACGCCGCGUGGGUGAAGGAGCGUUUCGGCGCGUAAAGCCCUAUCGGCAGGGAAGAAGCUGACGGUACCUGGCCAAGAAGCCCCGGCUAACUACGUGCCAGCAGCCGCGGUAAUACGUAGGGGGCAAGCGUUAUCCGGAUUUACUGGGUGUAAAGGGGGCGCAGACGGCAAUGCAAGCCAGGAGUGAAAGCCCGGGGCCCAACCCCGGGACUGCACUUGGAACUGCAUGGCUGGAGUACAGGAGGGGCAGGCGGAAUUCCUAGUGUAGCGGUGAAAUGCGUAGAUAUUAGGAGGAACACCGGUGGCGAAGGCGGCCUGCUGGACUGUGACUGACGUUGAGGCCCGAAGGCGUGGGGAGCAAACAGGAUUAGAUACCCCUGUAGUC
This 440-nucleotide ribosomal RNA is filed under the name uncultured bacterium. RNAcentral's name for it is "partial 16S ribosomal RNA". It matches the Rfam family "Bacterial small subunit ribosomal RNA", at positions 338 to 795 of the family's 1533-position model. The record is from RNAcentral.